GACAAGACAAUACAAAAGCUGGACACACAUCUUCCAUAUUCUUCAUUCUUUUCAAUAUUUCCCCAUAAAUCCUAGCAACCCUCCUUGGCAAUAUUAAAAAAGAAGAAUAUGCCUUCCAAUUCAACUUUCUAGACCUUGAUAACUUGAUACCUCUAUACCUUCCAUUCAUUUUCUUGAUAAGCCAACACCUUCUAGGCCUUAUUGCAAUCACC
This 212-nucleotide long non-coding RNA is filed under the name Capsicum annuum. Its description in RNAcentral is "long non-coding RNA (CANN_LNC013106)". The record is from RNAcentral. Lineage: Eukaryota; Viridiplantae; Streptophyta; Magnoliopsida; Solanales; Solanaceae.